Molecule: ribosomal RNA, 453 nt
Filed under: uncultured bacterium
Lineage: Bacteria
Description: partial 16S ribosomal RNA
Rfam family: Bacterial small subunit ribosomal RNA
Source: RNAcentral
GGUGAACGCUGGCGGCGUGCCUAACGCAUGCAAGUCGAACGAAGCCUUCGGGCUUAGUGGCGGACGGGUGAGUAACACGUAGGAACCUGCCCAGGAGUGGGGGACAACCCCGCGAAAGCGGGGCUAAUACCGCAUACGGUCUACGGACCAAAGCCUUCGGGCGCUCUUGGAGGGGCCUGCGGCGGAUUAGCUUGUUGGUGGGGUAACGGCCUACCAAGGCGACGAUCCGUAGCUGGUCUGAGAGGAUGGCCAGCCACACUGGGACUGAGACACGGCACAGACUCCUACGGGAGGCAGCAGCGAGGAAUUUUCCGCAAUGGGCGAAAGCCUGACGGAGCAACGCCGCGUGGGGGAAGAAGGCCUUCGGGUUGUAAACCCCUGUUGCGAGGGAAGAAGAUCUGACGGUACCUCGCGAGGAAGCCACGGCUAACUACGUGCCAGCCGCCGCAGUAA